Molecule: long non-coding RNA, 543 nt
Organism: Erinaceus europaeus (western European hedgehog)
Lineage: Eukaryota; Metazoa; Chordata; Mammalia; Eulipotyphla; Erinaceidae
Exons: 3
Source: RefSeq, a predicted model, not a curated record
GUGCUAUAUAGCUUAUGGCUUUUUAGGAGUUCGUAGUCUUUAGCAUUUAGGAUUUUGACUUGGAUACAUUUCAAAAGAGCAAAGCCAACUUGGCGUUGUUACUUGGAGCUUGAUUAGCCAUCCUGGACCACUUCAUAAGCGUAAGAAGAACCUUGGCCACAGUACCUGUGAACAAAUCCUGAAGCAUAUCCCAUGAGAAAAGUACAUGUGGAAAGGGUGUGCUAUUUGGCCGAGGGAUCUGCAUGGUGGAUUUGGCCAAGACCUCAUGUUAAACCUGCCUUUUGAGCUGGACUGGCUCCGAUGGAAUCUUUACAGUCUACUCUGGUUGGGCUGUGUUUAUACCAAAUGCUCAAAGGCAUCUACUUCCUCUCAAAUAUUAGGAUUUUGCAGCUGGAGUUAAAAAUACAUCCAGAGGGAUAGCAAAAAACUGAAGCAACUGGUACAUACAUUUAAAGAAUAUGAGCAGAAAAACACAUGAAUCUUUAAGUUACUGUACUGCUUUCAUAAAAUAUUUGCACAAUUUAUCAAAUCACAUUUAAUAAA